Argentina anserina (silverweed cinquefoil) is the source of this 2472-nucleotide long non-coding RNA. RefSeq lists it as uncharacterized. The record is from RefSeq and is a predicted model, not a curated record. The transcript is spliced from 2 exons. Lineage: Eukaryota; Viridiplantae; Streptophyta; Magnoliopsida; Rosales; Rosaceae.
ACCAAUGAGAUCCGCCUCCAUCUCUGCCUCAAUGGACGACAACGACGUUAGAGCCAUUCUCUCUCACUGAGUCGCACUCCAAGGUCCGAUCUCCACACUCUCUAUGCUUCUUCUCCUCUCUCUUUGUUUGGAUCUUCAAGCUUUUGGUGGCUUCUCUGAGAGAUGGCAAAUCGGCGUCACUCGGGGAGAAGCACUGAUCUCUAAUAUGUAAAUAUUUGAGGAUUCUGUGGCCGAGUUGUGAAACAAGAAAUCGAUCGGGGCAUAGUGUGAUCUCUCCCUUGUUUUGAAUCAUCUUCCUGAGCAGGAUUACUCCCUUGUUUUUUACCUGCAUAAUGUGAUCGACAUCACUUGGGUACUGCAUAGUAUUCAUGCUGCAGAAGAGUCCAUCCAUUCUCAUUUGCAUUUAUAUAGAUCAUGGAUUGAAUAUUUAGUUAGGAAUUUUAUUACUUCAUACAUAAACUUCUUUUCAUAAUAGGAACCAUCUUAGUUGAUCUCUACUGCUUAAGCUAUGCGUCGGUUGCGUAUAUAUACGUAUAUCUAGUCACUCGUCGUAUUCACUAUCGACUCUCUCUCAUCCCUUUGUCUUCCUCCCUUCUCUAAUCUCCUCUCUCUGGUUUUGCCCUAACAAGAAUUUCAGAGCACAACAAUGGAACCCACUUCUCACCUCGCGAAUACUUCCUGAGAUCAUAUCUGAAUUGAACUACCGCCCCGGAAUUCGGGUUCCCUGGGGCCACAAGAAGAAGAGAUCUGCCCUCGCUGUACGACAACAAAAAAUGAAACUCAACUCGUCAUCAUCGACGCUGGGAUUACGGACUUUACUGUUUCUGUCUCACUCUUCCUUGGUAUAUAAAAAAUGUUGGACUGGUGUCUGAUCGAAGUGAAUCUCAUUUUCACUUGAAUCUUGUGUUUUUGUUGUGUAUAUGCUGCCAACAGUUGCCUAUUUAGAUAACCCGUCUAUGCCUUCGCUGCAAAGUCCGUAAUCCCAGUAAUUGGUUUUGGUAAGUUCAGUACAAUCAAGUUUGGUUAAAGUCAUAUUCAACCAUGGUUCAUUGGGCAUUUGAUAUUAUCUAUUACAAGCAUGAUGUUAUCCUGGUUUGGUGCUUAUAAGUCGAAUUAAACUCAUGUUCUUCCUUUUUUUCUCCUGUAAAAGAAAAAAGUAAUUUGACUCGCACUUGUGUUCUUCCUUUCUUGUUUUUCUAAUAUAGCUUCUAUUUUUCCUCCUCAUUUUUCCCUUUUUUCCUGGUAAACUAUCAUGGCAUCAGAGAGCCAGGUUCUUUGGUGACGUUCGGAUCGGAGCCUAGCUGCUUGAGUUCAUGAAGCCUAUGCAUCUUUCUACCUUCUUCUUCAUUUCAGAGUUUGAUUUCAGCUUCAAUCAGAUAAGUUCUUCAUAUUUGUAGAUUUGAAAUUUUGGAAUUUUAAUCAAUGUUAGUGAAUUAUGAUUGUGGCUUUGAAACCUUGGUUUUGUGAUGUGAUCAUUUGAAUAUACUUCUUACACAUUCACUAAAAGAUUCAUAUCACAAAUACUUAUAUAUUAGAAUUGUAAACCCCUGUUGUGUUGAAAGAACCUUGAGAUAUCAGUCUGCCUUGUGCAUUCUCACAUAAGAUCAGUCAAUUUCUUUGUUCGAUUGUGUUCAGUUUAUUUAUUUACAAGUUUUCGUUAAAAAAUCAGAAGAUUGUGACUCAGAAAUGACACCUUUUACUUCUAGUGCUGCAUCUGCUAGUAAGUUUGCAGAGCUUGAUUUUCUUCAUCCAAUACUAUUUGUAGUUUAUCAAUGGUCUAAUGGUGCCUAUAAUUAUGAAUAUCGUUUUCACUUUUGGGCAAUUAUCUUAUCUCUAAUAUUUACAAGUGGAUUCCAAUUUCCUUAGAUGGUUCCAACUAUGUCAAUGGGAAGUUUAUGCUAGAGAUGGUGUGGCUUAUGAAGUAUUUCAAUGGUUCAUUCUCUUAGGUCUUCAGACUUUGGUGAUCUUGAGCUAAUUAUGAAAAAUGAUUUCUUAUUUAGUGAAUAACAUUCAUGUCAAACAAAUUCUUUGAAUAGAGGAUAUGAAUCCACUCAGCCCUUUUAUUCUUUUGGCAGAUGAGUUCCCAAGUAUCAAGAGCUGAGCUGAUGCUAAGGAUAGGGUGGCUGCUAUUAAGCUAUUACCGCUAUCUUGGACCCUUGAAGCAGUACAGAUAAAAAAAAAAAAAUUAUGGAUAGCAACAACAAGGGACUACAGACAGAAUAGUCCUUCCUGAUAGUUGCCAUAUGGCGGUGCUUCGAUACAAAUUUUCUUAAGUGACUAUGAACUUCAAUCCUAGUUAUCAAAGAUAGGUUAGAAGGAUGAUUCUGUAGGCAAGUUAUUUUCUUUUGUAAGUGAGCACAAUUGUUCAUUUGAACACUAUAGGCAAGUUAGCAAUUUUAUGAUUCACUUUUUGAUCUGAAAUUUUGUGAUUCUGUUGAACAUUCACAGAUAAUUCUUAGUUUGCACUUUGCA